GGGUUGUGAGGUUAAGCGACUAAGCGUACACGGUGGAUGCCCUGGCAGUCAGAGGCGAUGAAGGACGUGCUAAUCUGCGAUAAGCGUCGGUAAGGUGAUAUGAACCGUUAUAACCGGCGAUUUCCGAAUGGGGAAACCCAGUGUGUUUCGACACACUAUCAUUAACUGAAUCCAUAGGUUAAUGAGGCGAAGCGGGGGAACUGAAACAUCUAAGUACCCCGAGGAAAAGAAAUCAACCGAGAUUCCCCCAGUAGCGGCGAGCGAACGGGGAGCAGCCCAGAGCCUGAAUCAGUGUGUGUGUUAGUGGAAGCGUCUGGAAAGGCGCGCGAUACAGGGUGACAGCCCCGUACACAAAAAUGCACAUGCUGUGAGCUCGAUGAGUAGGGCGGGACACGU
RNAcentral lists this ribosomal RNA (396 nucleotides) under Escherichia coli. RNAcentral describes it as "bacterial LSU rRNA". It matches the Rfam family "Bacterial large subunit ribosomal RNA", at positions 1 to 427 of the family's 2925-position model. The record is from RNAcentral. Lineage: Bacteria; Pseudomonadati; Pseudomonadota; Gammaproteobacteria; Enterobacterales; Enterobacteriaceae.